This 119-nucleotide microRNA precursor is filed under the name Trypanosoma vivax Y486. The record is from RNAcentral. Lineage: Eukaryota; Euglenozoa; Kinetoplastea; Trypanosomatida; Trypanosomatidae.
UUCUCUCUCUCUCUCUCUCUUUCUCUUUUGGUGUACGUACUUGUCCGUGUUGUCGUGCUGUGGCGUUAGCGAACUAUCAACUGCGGACCGAGAAAGAGAGAGAGAGAGAGAGAGCACGA